UAGGGAAUCUUCCGCAAUGGACGCAAGUCUGACGGAGCAACGCCGCGUGAGUGACGAAGGAUUUCGGUUCGUAAAACUCUGUUGUUAGAGAAGAACAGCGCAUAGAGUAACUGUUAUGCGUGUGACGGUAUCUAACCAGAAAGCCACGGCUAACUACGUGCCAGCAGCCGCGGUAAUACGUAGGUGGCAAGCGUUGUCCGGAUUUAUUGGGCGUAAAGCGAGCGCAGGCGGUCAAUUAAGUCUGAUGUGAAAGCCCCCGGCUCAACCGGGGAGGGUCAUUGGAAACUGGUUGACUUGAGUGCAGAAGAGGAGAGUGGAAUUCCAUGUGUAGCGGUGAAAUGCGUAGAUAUAUGGAGGAACACCAGUGGCGAAGGCGACUCUCUGGUCUGUAACUGACGCUGAGGCUCGAAAGCGUGGGUAGCAAACAGG
This 429-nucleotide ribosomal RNA is filed under the name Bacteroidota bacterium. RNAcentral's name for it is "Bacteroidetes bacterium partial 16S ribosomal RNA". It matches the Rfam family "Bacterial small subunit ribosomal RNA", at positions 355 to 776 of the family's 1533-position model. The record is from RNAcentral. Lineage: Bacteria; Pseudomonadati; Bacteroidota.